GUCCCCAUCUUUAACUCCUUCCACUACACUUUCUGAACCCUUAUCCUCAUGGACAUCAUCCUCAUUUUCAUUCUCCUCUCCAGAUGUAAUUGCCACCGCAGCUCCGACGAGGACACUUAUCGGCUCCGAGAUUAUCCCAUCUGUCUCCGUCGCCGUUGCUGGUCCCCCUUGCGACCCCUCAUCGGGCAUCUCCGUCAUUUCUUUUCACUCUAUCGAUUCUCACACACAAAUCGACUUCCUCGACCAAGAAAGGGAAGAGAGGAGAGAAAGAGAAUUUUUUUUCAACGGGAAUACGAUUUGAUUUUGUUAAAUCCGAAAUUAAAAUUAGGGUUUCAUUAACCCGGAAUGGGGAAUCGGUCUGGGUUUCCUUCGGUUUUCGUUUUGGGUUUUGUUGGGGUCGCGGUUUGAAUUAGAUCGGAUUGAAUUUCGGUACAACUAGGUAUAACUCGUAAAUAACUGAACCUUCCUACGGUUUAAUGGUCUUUUACAUACUAUCUUAAUUAAAUAAAGAUAGAAAAUAUCCACGUUUUAUAACGGGUCCUUGGAAGAUUGAUUCAUGAGAUCCUCUCUCUCUCUCUCUCUCUCUCUCUCUCUCUCUCUCUCUCUCU
This 608-nucleotide long non-coding RNA is filed under the name Brassica napus (rape). RNAcentral describes it as "long non-coding RNA (BNAP_LNC024878)". The record is from RNAcentral. Lineage: Eukaryota; Viridiplantae; Streptophyta; Magnoliopsida; Brassicales; Brassicaceae.